UGUAUAAUGGGUCAGCGACUUAUAUUCUGUAGCAAGGUUAACCGAAUAGGGGAGCCGAAGGGAAACCGAGUCUUAACUGGGCGUUAAGUUGCAGGGUAUAGACCCGAAACCCGGUGAUCUAGCCAUGGGCAGGUUGAAGGUUGGGUAACACUAACUGGAGGACCGAACCGACUAAUGUUGAAAAAUUAGCGGAUGACUUGUGGCUGGGGGUGAAAGGCCAAUCAAACCGGGAGAUAGCUGGUUCUCCCCGAAAGCUAUUUAGGUAGCGCCUCGUGAAUUCAUCUCCGGGGGUAGAGCACUGUUUCGGCAAGGGGGUCAUCCCGACUUACCAACCCGAUGCAAACUGCGAAUACCGGAGAAUGUUAUCACGGGAGACACACGGCGGGUGCUAACGUCCGUCGUGAAGAGGGAAACAACCCAGACCGCCAGCUAAGGUCCCAAAGUCAUGGUUAAGUGGGAAACGAUGUGGGAAGGCCCAGACAGCCAGGAUGUUGGCUUAGAAGCAGCCAUCAUUUAAAGAAAGCGUAAUAGCUCACUGGUCGAGUCGGCCUGCGCGGAAGAUGUAACGGGGCUAAACCAUGCACCGAAGCUGCGGCAGCGACGCUUAUGCGUUGUUGGGUAGGGGAGCGUUCUGUAAGCCUGUGAAGGUGUGCUGUGAGGCAUGCUGGAGGUAUCAGAAGUGCGAAUGCUGACAUAAGUAACGAUAAAGCGGGUGAAAAGCCCGCUCGCCGGAAGACCAAGGGUUCCUGUCCAACGUUAAUCGGGGCAGGGUGAGUCGACCCCUAAGGCGAGGCCGAAAGGCGUAGUCGAUGGGAAACAGGUUAAUAUUCCUGUACUUGGUGUUACUGCGAAGGGGGGACGGAGAAGGCUAUGUUGGCCGGGCGACGGUUGUCCCGGUUUAAGCGUGUAGGCUGGUUUUCCAGGCAAAUCCGGAAAAUCAAGGCUGAGGCGUGAUGACGAGGCACUACGGUGCUGAAGCAACAAAUGCCCUGCUUCCAGGAAAAGCCUCUAAGCAUCAGGUAACAUCAAAUCGUACCCCAAACCGACACAGGUGGUCAGGUAGAGAAUACCAAGGCGCUUGAGAGAACUCGGGUGAAGGAACUAGGCAAAAUGGUGCCGUAACUUCGGGAGAAGGCACGCUGAUAUGUAGGUGAAGCGACUUGCUCGUGGAGCUGAAAUCAGUCGAAGAUACCAGCUGGCUGCAACUGUUUAUUAAAAACACAGCACUGUGCAAACACGAAAGUGGACGUAUACGGUGUGACGCCUGCCCGGUGCCGGAAGGUUAAUUGAUGGGGUUAGCGCAAGCGAAGCUCUUGAUCGAAGCCCCGGUAAACGGCGGCCGUAACUAUAACGGUCCUAAGGUAGCGAAAUUCCUUGUCGGGUAAGUUCCGACCUGCACGAAUGGCGUAAUGAUGGCCAGGCUGUCUCCACCCGAGACUCAGUGAAAUUGAACUCGCUGUGAAGAUGCAGUGUACCCGCGGCAAGACGGAAAGACCCCGUGAACCUUUACUAUAGCUUGACACUGAACAUUGAGCCUUGAUGUGUAGGAUAGGUGGGAGGCUUUGAAGUGUGGACGCCAGUCUGCAUGGAGCCGACCUUGAAAUACCACCCUUUAAUGUUUGAUGUUCUAACGUUGACCCGUAAUCCGGGUUGCGGACAGUGUCUGGUGGGUAGUUUGACUGGGGCGGUCUCCUCCUAAAGAGUAACGGAGGAGCACGAAGGUUGGCUAAUCCUGGUCGGACAUCAGGAGGUUAGUGCAAUGGCAUAAGCCAGCUUGACUGCGAGCGUGACGGCGCGAGCAGGUGCGAAAGCAGGUCAUAGUGAUCCGGUGGUUCUGAAUGGAAGGGCCAUCGCUCAACGGAUAAAAGGUACUCCGGGGAUAACAGGCUGAUACCGCCCAAGAGUUCAUAUCGACGGCGGUGUUUGGCACCUCGAUGUCGGCUCAUCACAUCCUGGGGCUGAAGUAGGUCCCAAGGGUAUGGCUGUUCGCCAUUUAAAGUGGUACGCGAGCUGGGUUUAGAACGUCGUGAGACAGUUCGGUCCCUAUCUGCCGUGGGCGCUGGAGAACUGAGGGGGGCUGCUCCUAGUACGAGAGGACCGGAGUGGACGCAUCACUGGUGUUCGGGUUGUCAUGCCAAUGGCACUGCCCGGUAGCUAAAUGCGGAAGAGAUAAGUGCUGAAAGCAUCUAAGCACGAAACUUGCC
This 2204-nucleotide ribosomal RNA is filed under the name Escherichia coli. Its description in RNAcentral is "partial 23S ribosomal RNA". It matches the Rfam family "Bacterial large subunit ribosomal RNA", at positions 609 to 2798 of the family's 2925-position model. Lineage: Bacteria; Pseudomonadati; Pseudomonadota; Gammaproteobacteria; Enterobacterales; Enterobacteriaceae. The record is from RNAcentral.